CGCAUCUGUGCAUGCAGCAUAUCAAUAAGCGGAGGAAAAGAAACUAACAAGGAUUCCCCUAGUAACGGCGAGUGAAGCGGGAAGAGCUCAAAUUUGGAAUCUUAAAGGGUUUCCCUUUACGAAUUGUAGUUUAAAGAAGUGUUUUCUGUUGAGGUUUUGGUAAAAGUUCUUUGGAAUAGGACAUCAUAGAGGGUGAGAAUCCCGUAUUUGACCUUUACUUUCAACUUUGUGAUACACUUUCAAAGAGUCGGAUUGUUUGGGAAUGCAGUCCAAAAUGGGUGGUAAAUUUCAUCUAAAGCUAAAUAUUGGCGAGAGACCGAUAGCGGACAAGUACCGUGAGGGAAAGAUGAAAAGAACUUUGAAAAGAGAGUUAAACAGUACGUGAAAUUGUCAAAAGGGAAGCGUUUGACACCAGUGUUGUUUUUCUGAAAAUCAAUUAAAGAACUGUUUAUGCUAAGUUGUUUAGACUUUAUCAGCUAACUGUUUAGUUUUGAGCUUUUCUUUAAUGCACUUUUCAGUUAACAAGUCAACAUCAAUUUCUUUUGCUGUAAAAAAGCUUGAGGAAGGUGGCUUGAGAUUCGUCUUAAGUGUUUAUAGCCUCUUGCCUAUGCAGUCGGAGAGAUUGAGGUCUGCAGCGUAGAUCCUUCGGGGCUAAAUGCAUUUGUGCUAAGUUAUAACAUUUUAUAGACAACUUGUUGACUUAUGAUUUGUCUUGUAGCUUACUCGCUUAUGUUAUUUUACCUACGCUUAGGAUGUUGAGCGCAUGUCUCUCUCU
This 775-nucleotide ribosomal RNA is filed under the name uncultured Neocallimastigales. RNAcentral describes it as "partial large subunit ribosomal RNA". It matches the Rfam family "Eukaryotic large subunit ribosomal RNA", at positions 26 to 616 of the family's 3401-position model. Lineage: Eukaryota; Fungi; Neocallimastigomycota; Neocallimastigomycetes; Neocallimastigales. The record is from RNAcentral.